GACGAACGCUGGCGGCGUGCUUAACACAUGCAAGUCGAACGAAGUGGCGCACGGGUGAGUAACGCGUAAUCAACCUGCCCUUCAGAGGGGGAUAACAGUUGGAAACGAAUGCUAAUACAGCAUACUGAAGGAGGGGACUGAGUGGGAUUAGCUAGUUGGAGGGGUAACGGCCCACCAAGGCGAUGAUCAGUAGCCGGUCUGAGAGGGUGAACGGCCACAUUGGGACUGAGACACGGCCCAGACUCCUACGGGAGGCAGCAGUGGGGAAUCUUCCGCAAUGGACGAAAGUCUGACGGAGCAACGCCGCGUGAGUGAUGACGGCCUUCGGGUUGUAAAGCUCUGUUAAUCGGGACGCGGUACCGGAAUAGAAAGCCACGGCUAACUACGUGCCAGCAGCCGCGGUAAUUC
This 408-nucleotide ribosomal RNA is filed under the name uncultured bacterium. RNAcentral describes it as "partial 16S ribosomal RNA". It matches the Rfam family "Bacterial small subunit ribosomal RNA", at positions 28 to 526 of the family's 1533-position model. The record is from RNAcentral.